This is a non-coding RNA of Ictidomys tridecemlineatus (thirteen-lined ground squirrel), 643 nucleotides long. Lineage: Eukaryota; Metazoa; Chordata; Mammalia; Rodentia; Sciuridae. The record is from RefSeq and is a predicted model, not a curated record.
CCCUACAACAGUGAAAUCAACAAUGACUUGUGUCAGGAGAAAUCUUUAACUUAUUAUUUAUUACAAGAUAUUCUAAUGUUUAAAGAGCAAUCCAACAUAAAUUGAAGAGAUAGGCUGCUGCCAGUGCAUCUUGAAGCUUUUGGCUGAGGAGAAAACACACAAAAUCUGAAAAAAGAUGUUUUUUUUUAUAUGAAAAAUAAGCAGAAGUUUCUGCCAAGCUUACCUUUCCCUUCAUCACAGAAACAUGAUGCCCAGGUGUCCUGCCCGUGGGUCCCAGCCCUGCUCAUCCAGUGGCAGCCCAUCCUAUUUGCAAAUUACUCAAGUGGAAACAUGUGCCAAACACUGACCCUGUGAACUUGGACACAGAAGCAGUCUGAGUUGCAUCAAGUGUGAAUCAAGGGUGCCUAUGAAGGGUCCCAUAAUUAUCUGCCAAAAUGAAGACCCAGUUCCUGACAAUCCUGCCUGGGAAAUGUUUUCACAGCCUAAAAACUGUUUCUAUUUGUUUCAUGCAUUCUUAUCCGUCACGUAGAAAGAGGCAGCUUGCCGUAGUGGUGGAGAGAACUUCAACUUCAGUGUCAAACCCAUAAUCAUGUCCCACCACUGUCCUUCACUGUGGUGUCAUUAAAGGAAGUGUCAGAAGCCA